Molecule: non-coding RNA, 204 nt
Organism: Oryza barthii
Lineage: Eukaryota; Viridiplantae; Streptophyta; Magnoliopsida; Poales; Poaceae
Source: Rfam
AAAAAAACAAACCCUGAUUUUCGUGUCCAAUAUUUAAUCGUCCGUCUCAUUUGAAAAAAAUAUGAAAAAAUUAAAAAUAUAAGUCACGCAUAAAGUAUUAAUCAUGUUUUAUUAUCUAGCAACAAUAAAAAUAAUAAUUAUAAAAGAAUUUCAUAUAAGACGGACAGUCAAACGUUGACACAGAAAUUAGGGUUUGCCUUUUUU